This 73-nucleotide small nucleolar RNA is filed under the name Sorghum bicolor (sorghum). RNAcentral describes it as "Plant small nucleolar RNA R71". It matches the Rfam family "Plant small nucleolar RNA R71". From Rfam's summary of the family: R71 is a member of the C/D box family of snoRNAs containing the C (UGAUGA) and D (CUGA) box motifs. Multiple nearly identical copies of this snoRNA have been identified in Arabidopsis, and it is thought to function as a 2'-O-ribose methylation guide for 18S ribosomal RNA. Lineage: Eukaryota; Viridiplantae; Streptophyta; Magnoliopsida; Poales; Poaceae. The record is from Rfam by way of RNAcentral.
AUUCCAUGAUGAGGACAAUCUUGAAUGUAUCCUUACAAACGCUCCCAAGCUUCUGAAAUCUUUCUAUGGCAAU